RNAcentral lists this long non-coding RNA (572 nucleotides) under Drosophila melanogaster (fruit fly). Its description in RNAcentral is "antisense RNA:CR43723 (Dmel_CR43723)". The record is from RNAcentral. Lineage: Eukaryota; Metazoa; Arthropoda; Insecta; Diptera; Drosophilidae.
AGUUUACGUGCCUUUUGGCGGUGCCGAGAGAGAAUUGUGGAAAGAGCGGACGGAGCUGGUUGCGACGGCACAGGCAAAGGCGAAGGCGGAGCUGCGGGAUCGGGAAGGAGGAGAGAGGCUUGAGCAACAGGCUUUGCCACGAACAGAAGACCCAAGAAGAGGAAGAAGAAGCAGGAGAAGCAGAAGAAGAAGAAGCAGGCGCAGGCGAGGCGGCAGAACAACAACUGAGCUGCCUGGCAAUAUUAUCCGGAUGUUAAGCUUCCGCUGCGCUGGCCGCAACUCUGUGUCGUAUUUGCGCUUUUUACGGUUGUUAACUUCGCCAUUGUGAGCCCACCGUAACGAAUCUAAUAUGCUCUGCACCGAAAACGGCUAUUGCAAUAGAAUUCCACCCGUACAGCGACUUGAGCGGACAUGUCACGCGCUUUAGCGUGCGAAAAACACACACACACAUUCGUAUGCACAAUGUACGUGGACAGACAUGCGGCCAAUAAAUGGGAAUCCAACACCGUAAUUGGCCAUUUUCAAGAACGCCUUGCAAAGAAAACUGGGGAAAAGAUACAGACAUACCUAAG